This 574-nucleotide ribosomal RNA is filed under the name dothideomycete sp. 7687. RNAcentral describes it as "eukaryotic LSU rRNA". The stretch from base 212 to 365 matches the Rfam family "5.8S ribosomal RNA". The record is from RNAcentral. Lineage: Eukaryota; Fungi; Ascomycota; Dothideomycetes.
CUCUUGGUCAUUUAGAGGAAGUAAAAGUCGUAACAAGGUUUCCGUAGGUGAACCUGCGGAAGGAUCAUUACCUAGAGUUGUAGGCUUUGCCUGCUAUCUCUUACCCAUGUCUUUUGAGUACCUUACGUUUCCUCGGUGGGUUCGCCCACCGAUUGGACAAACUUAAACCCUUUGCAGUUGAAAUCAGCGUCUGAAAAAACUUAAUAGUUACAACUUUCAACAACGGAUCUCUUGGUUCUGGCAUCGAUGAAGAACGCAGCGAAAUGCGAUAAGUAGUGUGAAUUGCAGAAUUCAGUGAAUCAUCGAAUCUUUGAACGCACAUUGCGCCCCUUGGUAUUCCAUGGGGCAUGCCUGUUCGAGCGUCAUUUGUACCUUCAAGCUCUGCUUGGUGUUGGGUGUUUGUCUCCUGUAGACUCGCCUUAAAACAAUUGGCAGCCGGCGUAUUGAUUUCGGAGCGCAGUACAUCUCGCGCUUUGCACUCAUAACGACGACGUCCAAAAGUACAUUUUUACACUCUUGACCUCGGAUCAGGUAGGGAUACCCGCUGAACUUAAGCAUAUCAAUAAGCGGAGGA